Molecule: ribosomal RNA, 468 nt
Filed under: uncultured bacterium
Lineage: Bacteria
Description: partial 16S ribosomal RNA
Rfam family: Bacterial small subunit ribosomal RNA
Source: RNAcentral
GACGAACGCUGGCGGCGUGCUUAACACAUGCAAGUCGAACGGAAAGGCCCUGCUUUUGUGGGGUGCUCGAGUGGCGAACGGGUGAGUAACACGUGAGUAACCUGCCCUUGACUUUGGGAUAACUUCAGGAAACUGGUGCUAAUACCGGAUAGGAGCUCCUGCUGCAUGGUGGUGGUUGGAAAGUUUCGGCGGUUGGGGAUGGACUCGCGGCUUAUCAGCUUGUUGGUGGGGUAGUGGCUUACCAAGGCUUUGACGGGUAGCCGGCCUGAGAGGGUGACCGGCCACAUUGGGACUGAGAUACGGCACAGAAUCCUACGGGAGGCAGUGGUGGAGAAUAUUGUACAAUGGCCGGGAGGCUGAUGAAGCAACGCAGCGUGCGGGAUGACGGGCUUCGAGUUGUAAACCGAUGCCGCAGGUGACGAAGAGUGAGUGACGGUAAUGGAUAAAGAAGCACCGGCUAACUACGUG